RNAcentral lists this unclassified non-coding RNA (237 nucleotides) under uncultured Ascomycota. RNAcentral describes it as "sequence contains ITS2". The record is from RNAcentral. Lineage: Eukaryota; Fungi; Ascomycota.
AACGCACAUUGCGCCCUUUGGCAUUCCGAAGGGCAUGCCUGUUCGAGCGUCAUUACACCCCUCAGACCCUGCCCUGUGUGGGCGGAUCUGGCGUUGGGCGGUGCCGGAAGGCACGCCUAAAAGUCAGCAACGGCAUCCUCGACCGCAAGCGCACAACUGUCGCGAUGCAGGGCGGGCGGUGCUGGUACACCCCUAAAUGUUGACCUCGGAUCAGGUAGGAUUACCCGCUGAACUUAA